RNAcentral lists this ribosomal RNA (493 nucleotides) under uncultured bacterium. RNAcentral describes it as "SSU rRNA". It matches the Rfam family "Bacterial small subunit ribosomal RNA", at positions 26 to 521 of the family's 1533-position model. The record is from RNAcentral.
AGGACGAACGCUGGCGGCGUGCUUAACACAUGCAAGUGGAGCGACGAACCAGGGCUUGCCCUGGGGCAGAGCCGCGAACGGGUGAGUAACACGUGGGUUACCUGCCUCGAUGACCGGGACAACCCGAGGAAACUCGGGCUAAUACCGGAUGUGCCCGCAAGGGGAAAGGAAGCUUCGGCCUCCGCAUCGAGAUGGGCCCGCGGCCCAUUAGCUUGUUGGUGAGGUAACGGCUCACCAAGGCUUCGAUGGGUAGCUGGUCUGAGAGGACGAUCAGCCACACUGGGACUGAGACACGGCCCAGACUCCUACGGGAGGCAGCAGUGGGGAAUCUUGCGCAAUGCGCGAAAGCGUGACGCAGCAACGCCGCGUGGGGGAAGAAGGCUUUCGGGUGUAAACCCCUUUCAGUUGGGACGAAGCUUCUCCGGUGAAUAGCCGGACGGAGUGACGGUACCUUCACAAGAGCACCGGCUAACUACGCGCCAGCAGCCGCGGU